GGGGAUGUGCUGGAACUGGCAGACAGGCAUGACUUAGGAUCAUGUGCCGCAAGGCGUAAGGGUUCAAGUCCCUUCAUCCCCA
RNAcentral lists this transfer RNA (82 nucleotides) under Leptolinea sp. RNAcentral's name for it is "tRNA-Leu". It matches the Rfam family "tRNA". From Rfam's summary of the family: Transfer RNA (tRNA) molecules are approximately 80 nucleotides in length. Their secondary structure includes four short double-helical elements and three loops (D, anti-codon, and T loops). Lineage: Bacteria; Bacillati; Chloroflexota; Anaerolineae; Anaerolineales; Anaerolineaceae. The record is from RNAcentral.